UAGGGAAUAUUGCACAAUGGGGGAAACCCUGAUGCAGCAACGCCGCGUGAACGAAGAAGGAUUUCGGUCUGUAAAGUUCUUUUGCUAGGAAAGAUAAUGACGGUACCUAGCGAAUAAGCACCGGCUAACUACGUGCCAGCAGCCGCGGUAAUACGUAGGGUGCAAGCGUUAUCCGGAAUUACUGGGCGUAAAGGGUGCGUAGGCGGCAUGGCAAGUCAGGAGUGAAAGGCAAUAGCUCAACUAUUGUUAGCUUUUGAAACUGCCAAGCUUGAAUCCGGGAGAGGCAAAUGGAAUUCCUAGUGUAGCGGUGAAAUGCGUAGAUAUUAGGAGGAACACCGGUGGCGAAGGCGAUUUGCUGGACCGAGAUUGACGCUGAGGCACGAAAGCGUGGGGAGCGAACA
Molecule: ribosomal RNA, 401 nt
Filed under: uncultured bacterium
Lineage: Bacteria
Description: bacterial SSU rRNA
Rfam family: Bacterial small subunit ribosomal RNA
Source: RNAcentral